RNAcentral lists this ribosomal RNA (253 nucleotides) under uncultured bacterium. RNAcentral describes it as "partial 16S ribosomal RNA". It matches the Rfam family "Bacterial small subunit ribosomal RNA", at positions 524 to 776 of the family's 1533-position model. The record is from RNAcentral.
UACGGGGGGAGCAAGCGUUGUUCGGAUUUACUGGGCGUAAAGGGCGGGUAGGCGGCCACCGCAAGUCGACUGUGAAAUCUCCGGGCUUAACCCGGAAAGGUCAGCCGAUACUGCGGGGCUAGAGUGCAGAAGGGGCAACUGGAAUUCUCGGUGUAGCGGUGAAAUGCGUAGAUAUCGAGAGGAACACCUGCGGCGAAGGCGGGUUGCUGGGCUGACUAUGCGCUGAGGCGCGAAAGCUAGGGGAGCGAACGGG